Molecule: ribosomal RNA, 407 nt
Filed under: uncultured bacterium
Lineage: Bacteria
Description: partial 16S ribosomal RNA
Rfam family: Bacterial small subunit ribosomal RNA
Source: RNAcentral
AUUGAACGCUGGCGGCAGGCCUAACACAUGCAAGUCGAGCGGAGCGGCGGACGGGGGAGUAAUGCCUAGGAAUCUGCCUGGUAGUGGGGGAUAACGUCAGGAAACGGACGCUAAUACCGCAUACUCUCAGAUGAGCCUAGGUCGGAUUAGCUAGUGGGUGGGGUAAAGGCCUACCAAGGCGACGAUCCGUACCUGGUCUGAGAGGAUGAUCAGUCCCACUGGAACUGAGACACGGUCCAGACUCCUACGGGAGGCACCAGAGGGGAAUAUUGGACAAUGGGCGCAAGCCUGAGCCAGCCAUGCCGCGUGUGUGAAGAAGGUCUUCGGAUUGUAAAGCACUUUAAGCGGGGAGGCGUUACCAACAGAAGAAGCACCGGCUAACUCCGUGCCAGCCGCCGCGGUAAUAC